RNAcentral lists this long non-coding RNA (2910 nucleotides) under Mus musculus (house mouse). RNAcentral's name for it is "long non-coding RNA chr2:103586344-103589254". Lineage: Eukaryota; Metazoa; Chordata; Mammalia; Rodentia; Muridae. The record is from RNAcentral.
AUUACUGGGUUCCCAAUUGGUGGUGGCUACUUAUUAUUAGCAUGCUAUGGACCACCUGGGUUAUGCUGUGAGCUUCCUUGGUGCUCUCUGUGAUUGCCUGUGAUUUUGGGUAAAAUACCUGAGUACCAAGGCUUUCCUCUUCCAGCCACAGUGGCCUUCUUUUACAGAGAGCCCAGAACAGUCAGGAUAUUCAGGUUGCCUUGCUUCUCAGGUUUGGGCCAACACGUGGGCAUAAGUGCCUGUGUGAGUCUAAACUCACUGAACAAAGACAGGGUUGUUUUGUCCUUGCUGUGCCAGAUGGAAGGCUUUCAUUAGUCACUUUGGGAGCAUUCAUAUUAGCUGGGAGAUUUUCUUUCCAAGGGUUGGAGCUGACGGUGUUUGCCUUGGGAUGGUCUUAGUCCUCUCUGCUUUCAUUGCUACUGCCAAGUAUCACAACCCUUGCCUACGGCUUUGCUCUACCCAUAGUUCCUUUUCCUUAACAUGGGGAAGCAUGGAGGAUAUUUGAGAUGGCCCAAUCACAUGUUCCCAGGUCAGUGGCAUCUGGGUACAAGUAAUUCUCAGGUCUAGCUCUUCUUCUCUGACUGUGGUUUAUAAAGGGACAGAGACAAGAGCCCCCGGUUUUGGAGCCAGGAAGACCUGAAUUCCAUUUCAGACUCAGCCAUGUAAUCUGAGGUAGCAGUAUUGUUUUUUCCUGUAUGUUGAACUGAGACCAGUGAAUUGUCACAUAGGUACAUGUGUUCAACUUACCUAGGUCAUGAUUAAACUCCAAGGAGGGGCUGGGGAUGUAGCUCUGUUGUAGAGUGCCUACCUAGUAUGCAUAAACCCCUGGCUUCAGUGCCCAGCCCUACCCAAACUAGGGCUGAGAGUAGGAGGACAAGAAAUCAAGCCCACCCUAUACUAUAUCACAAGUUUGUGGUCAGGAGGCUUCAAAACCAAAAUCAAACGGUAACAGCAAAAGGAUCUUAGGCCCUCAAUGGCCCUUCCUGUCAGCAACUCCCCACGCACACCUCAAGUACCCACAGAGGUCUGGUUUUUGUUGCUAUCAACUGUUCUGAACUUUUAGGGUUGAGACAUUAUUAAAACCCUUCUGAGCUUCAGUUUCUUUUGUGGAAAGUGAAAAUAUAGGGCCGUGUUACUGCAUUGAUUUGGGAAAAUCUAACAGGACAGGGUACAUGAAGUCCACAAUAAGAGAAUUAUCCAGCAGGUAUCACUAGCUUAGGCAGAGCUGUGUUAUCUCUGAUGGCAGUGUUGGCUCUAGAGAGUCGGGUUCCUGCUGAUGUUAUGGCAUUUGUGUCCUGUGCCCUCUAUGUUCCACUACCAUCUUGAACAUGCUUCAGGUUGUUCACACAGUGGCUUGCAGGACUUCUGCUAGAAACCAGUACUUGAUGCUUAAGUUGAUAGAAGAGUGAGCAGUAAAGAAAGCAUUCUGCAGCCUCCCUCUCCAAACCUGUGAUUCAGACUCGGUCUGUUUUCUCUAUUAGCAAAAUCGAUAGCUGUAUCGCAAAGCGCAGGCUUGGGUCGGACCUGUUUCUCUAAACCGAGAGUUGGUGUUAGUGUGCCCUGGGUGCCAUGUUUGUUGAAGUGUAAGGAUGCUAAAUUUUUUGUUUUAAAACUAAACAAAAACCACCCCAUAUGAUGGCCCCAAAUUUCUACAAUGGUAAAUAUUUCCUUGAGUCAAAGAGAAGAAAAAACAGGAUACCCAAGUUGAGGGGUUUUUGUUUUUUGGUUUUUUUUUGGGGGGGGGGGGUGACUUUGUGAUGCAUGUUCUACAUUAGGCCUUAAUCUGUGUGGUAUGUAUGCCCUUUCCUGACUUUAGGCCUUCAUGAAGAAGGCAGGACUACAGGAGAGAGGGCAUCCAAGGAACUUAUAAAGACAAAUUCCCCGAGUCAGAGAUGGAGUCUGAAGCUGGGAUCUGUCCUUAGAACCUUCUCCCUACACUCACAGAACACUGACAAUAUGUCAAGGACGAUGUGAAGAGAGCAGUGACUGUGAGCAGCUUUGAGCCAAAGGCAUGCAUUCAGCAGAUUGUUACAAUGCAGACUGUGUACUGCAUGUGGAAGACCAUAGCUAGUAAGCCAGGUUGGGGCCAGGGGUUGACGUGGUCCUGGAAGCUGAAAAAACUACAAGAAUAAAUCUCAGACAUCUCAUGUCAUAUGUGACUCAUGUCAGAGUGUCCCUGAGACCCCUCAUCUAAGGAGACAUUUCCCAGGGUAACUUCUGCCCACCCCUAAAUGAGAUUGUGCUUUUGCUAAACCGCUGGAUGUGUCUGCAGCUGGCAUGCCCUUGCUGUGUUUCUGAUCGCUUUGCAGCGCCCCGAUCCAUGCUGCGAUGUUUUAAAGACAGGGGCCUUCUUACUCUGGAAAAGGGUUUCACUUUCUUCCCAGGUAAAUAAGAGAGGUUAGGCAGUAGAUCUGCAUGGAAAAGAAGUGCUUUAUUAGCAAGAGUUUGUGAGAAAGAACACGGCUCUAGUAUGGAGCUGGGAGAGAAACAUGUUUGCUGAGAAGGAGAUGCCCACUCGGCAUCCCCUGUGUGGCCCGCCAUCGAGUAGGGAGCCAGCAUGCCAAAUUUCUCCAGUUACCAUGGGACCCAGACUUUGACAGGAAAUCAUGGUAGGGUGGGAAGGAAUCCAAAAUACACAUGGCUGGCAUACAGGAUGCAGUUAGGAAAGAGAAGAGAACAGUCCAUCUAUUUUCCUGCGCUGAGUUCUCUAGCUUCAAAUGGGGCUGUUCUCUAAGCCUCCCUCUGAAGUAGGUCCAUUUUAUGGUCCUGAUUUUCAAGCAUGAACUUUUUCCAUAUUAAGCAAUACUUCUGUGAUUAAAGUGGCCCCUUUAUAUGUUUGUGGAGGGUAUUUCUUAGCCGUGUGUGUGUGUGUGUGUGUGUGUGUAUUUGUGUGUUUUAAGUCUACAAACU